CGUCCGGCGGUAGGAGUAUCGCUUCCUUCUUUUAGCCCUCGCUUCGGUUCGGAGAAGGAGCACGUUUCUAGAACUUCAGAAUAUUCUGCCCCAUCUCAUCAUUUAUGUUUUGUUUAGAGCCAAAAACAUUCAUCUUCUAUUAGAAAACAACAAGUGUUGCCUGUUGUCGUUAGGUGAAGUUAUACAUUAGGUUUAGAGAAGUCAACCGUGUAAACAGUUUAGUAUGCCAGUCGUCAACGGGGAAACCAUGCAGAGGAUCAUGGAUGAAUCGGAUGACCAUGCUUGUCGGUGACCCGGAGUGAAAUGGCCGCAACACGUGGGUCUACAGGUCUACAUGGCCAAAUAUGAAACUUAAUUUGACGUCAAGUAACUCCUGAGACGAGCUUGGAUGACUCUGCUGACCGUUCUGUCGGUGACCUGGAGUGAACAGGCUGAACAUGUGGAACCGGUCGACCUCGCCAAAUAUGAAGCGUAUUGGACGUUAUCAUGCAACUCUUGAGAUCUGUUGCUGCUGACCACCCGCCGUUGGGGCCGACCGUAGAGGAGCAGACGAAGACCACGGUAUAGUCCUCUGUGGCGCCACCGAGAGAUGGAUGUUUUCGCGUUGUGAACGAGGAGCUUGGAUGACUCUGCUGACCGUUCUGUCGGUGACCUGGAGUGAACAGGCUGAACAUGUGGAACCGGUCGACCUCGCCAAAUAUGAAGCGUAUUGGACGUUAUCAUGCAACUCUUGAGAUGUGAGUCAUUGGAACGAGAUUGAGCUUGGAUGACUCUGCUGACCGUUCUGUCGGUGACCUGGAGUGAACAGGCUGAACAUGUGGAACCGGUCGACCUCGCCAAAUAUGAAGCGUAUGGGACGUUAUCAUGCAACUCUUGAGAUGAGCGGUUGCAGUACGGGUUGAGGGCACUGGCGGCUUCAUGGAGCUCGGAGGAGACGGUGCAUCCCCCGGCCUGGGGUGUUGGCUGAGCUUGAGUCGGUGGUGAACAACCUCUGAUGCAGAGUUUGAAAUGUGGUGUAAAGGGCCCUGGCUUCAGACCCUAGCUUUUCAUUUGGUAGCACCAAAACAAAUUAGGUAGCACCAUAUAUUUUUUUUUUUGGUGAACAGGAGUUCCUCUUUAGUGAUGUUGUAGGCGGUGUUAAAAUUGAUGAUUUCUUCAUUCCCCGCCGUGCGGUUGCUCUCAUCUAUCCUAUUAAAUGAGCUUGUGCUUUUGGCUUUCGUAGUGUAAUUUAAUGAAUGAACUUUGAAUUGUGUAGAUCCUUUUUCGCCAACCUCUAACUGUCUUCUUCAGAAGAAUCUGAGAUUCUUGUCGCUUCCUCUGCUAACCCUUCUCCACCACCAACAUAACAGCCUCAUUUGUUUCCUCUGGCACAUUUUUUUCCUUAAAAUAAUCGACUAUCGACCGCUUCAUAUUGUAUCUGCUUUGUUUACUUUUUUGUGCGUGCUGCGUGCGCAGCAAGACUAUGGACGUGUAUUGUGCAGACCAUGGACUAAAAGGUGCAGGCAGAGACAGGGAGCGAGAGAGUAGUGGACUCGUAGGAAUGAGCCAGAAAGUAAGAUUUUAUUAUCAACCACAACCCCGGGAGUGGGUUGUGGUUGAUAAUACUACUUGUCCUCCUGCAAGUAGCACCGGAGCGACCUCAUUCAGUUUGAACUCGCACCUUAAGAAAUUAGGUUGCAUAUGCGACCUAAUAGGUUGCACUCUGGAGCCCUGCAUUACAGCUGGAUUAGCUGCUCCCAACAGACGAGUUAAAGGCAGACGACAUGUAAUCAAACAAUGUGUUUUCUAUUGAAAUAAAGAUUUAACACAAAUA
Molecule: long non-coding RNA, 1813 nt
Organism: Gadus morhua (Atlantic cod)
Lineage: Eukaryota; Metazoa; Chordata; Actinopteri; Gadiformes; Gadidae
Exons: 7
Source: RefSeq, a predicted model, not a curated record